This 238-nucleotide unclassified non-coding RNA is filed under the name Chytridiomycota sp. RNAcentral's name for it is "partial contains small subunit ribosomal RNA, internal transcribed spacer 1, and 5.8S ribosomal RNA". The stretch from base 1 to 47 matches the Rfam family "Eukaryotic small subunit ribosomal RNA", at positions 1785 to 1831 of the family's 1831-position model. The record is from RNAcentral. Lineage: Eukaryota; Fungi; Chytridiomycota.
AAAGUCGUAACAAGGUAACCGUAGGUGAACCUGCGGUUGGAUCAUUAACAAAAUCCAAAACACAAACCCUUUGUGAACUUUUAAUUUUGUACCUUUGGUUAUUUUUUUUCUUUCUUCGAAAGAAGGGGGAAGGAAGUAGCCAGACAAUUUAUUAAGACUCUGUUUUUUAUUAGUGUUUUUAAAUUUUUUAUAUUACUUAAAAAAAUAACAACUUUUGACAACGGAUCUCUUGGCUCUC